Molecule: ribosomal RNA, 484 nt
Filed under: uncultured bacterium
Lineage: Bacteria
Description: partial 16S ribosomal RNA
Rfam family: Bacterial small subunit ribosomal RNA
Source: RNAcentral
AUUGAACGCUGGCGGCACGCUUUACACAUGCAAGUCGAACGGCAGCGCGGGCUUCGGCCUGGCGGCGAGUGGCGAACGGGUGAGUAAUGCAUCGGAACGUGCCCAGUAGUGGGGGAUAGCCCGGCGAAAGCCGGAUUAAUACCGCAUACGACCUGAGGGUGAAAGCGGGGGACCGAAAGGCCUCGCGCUAUUGGAGCGGCCGAUGUCGGAUUAGCUAGUUGGUGGGGUAAAGGCUUACCAAGGCGACGAUCCGUAGCUGGUCUGAGAGGACGACCAGCCACACUGGGACUGAGACACGGCCCAGACUCCUACGGGAGGCAGCAGUGGGGAAUUUUGGACAAAGGGGGCAACCCUGAUCCAGCCAUGCCGCGUGCGGGAAGAAGGCCUUCGGGUUGUAAACCGCUUUUGUUCGGGAAGAAAUCCUCUGGGCUAAUACCCCGGGGGGAUGACGGUACCGGAAGAAUAAGCACCGGCUAACUACGUG